CGGUUAAAGGUGGCAAAGAAGCACAUGGAGGCACGGUGCCAAAGUCAGUUAGAGAGGCGUGCCAUCCCCUAGGGGAGUACAACAGCCAAGUAUUAAGACAGACUCACUCACUCUUACACAAACACAAACAGCAGAUUGUUUUUGUCCCUCCAUUAACUGCAAGCCAAUCGAGGACGGCGCGGAGGCUAACCAAUCACCUUGGGGGAAUUUGCAGGAAGAGAUAAAGGGGUGUGAUGAGGAAGUGGUUAUGAUUAAAAAAAAAAAAGAAAGAAAGAAAAUCUACAAAUCUGUUUAUCUGCAUGUUUCACGCUUGGCUCUGGUAGGUCCACGGUGGCUGCUGGAUGACAGUGGCUCCCUGACAAGCUACUCAGAAUCGGGUUCCGUGGUUAAUGGAGAGUUGAAGCCAGAGCUGAGAGGAGGGCGACAGGGUAAUGUCAUCCAGCGUCACGUACAGUCUGAAAUAUAAAACUAUCACCACGCCCACACAGAAAAGGUUGAUGGAAGCUGCUAAGAAUGUGCAACAAUGAACUUCUUGGUGCAUGAAUGAGAUCAUUAUCAUGUCUCUAAAAUAUUUUUUUUUUCUACUUCACUGAUUAUUGACUUUGCAGAUUAAGUUGGCUAAUUGAUGAUUUACAGUUUUCUUUUGUCUGCGUCUCUGACUCAGCCUCAGCUCAUAAACACCGUCUAUUCUCUGA
Mugil cephalus (flathead mullet) is the source of this 695-nucleotide long non-coding RNA. RefSeq lists it as uncharacterized. Lineage: Eukaryota; Metazoa; Chordata; Actinopteri; Mugiliformes; Mugilidae. The transcript has 2 exons. The record is from RefSeq and is a predicted model, not a curated record.